UACGGGGGGGGCAAGCGUUGUUCGGAAUCACUGGGCGUAAAGGGUGCGUAGGCGGGUCUUUAAGUCUGACGGGGAAAUGCCGGGGCUCAACCCCGUGCCCGCCGCGGAUACUGGAGGGCUGGAGACACGUAGAGGCAAGCGGAAUUCCGGGUGUAGCGGUGGAAUGCGUAGAGAUCCGGAGGAACACCGAAGGCGAAGGCAGUGUCCUGGGGAGUACCUGACGCUCAGGUGCGAAAGCCAGGGGAGCGAACGGG
This 254-nucleotide ribosomal RNA is filed under the name uncultured bacterium. RNAcentral's name for it is "partial 16S ribosomal RNA". It matches the Rfam family "Bacterial small subunit ribosomal RNA", at positions 524 to 776 of the family's 1533-position model. The record is from RNAcentral.